CACUUGGUGAUUGUGAGCCAGCACCAAGAUCGAAGGCAUUUGGAUCCCUGGUGAUCACAGACCCAGCAUGUCAUCUCUGCAAAGCUUCCCAGAAAGUGUGGAAUAUUGGCCUUCCUUUUCAGAUUCAUGUGAAAGCUUGGAGAAAAGAACACAGACUAAAAGGAAUAUAAAUCCAAAAGAAUGAGUGAAAUGGGAAUACACAAGGCAUGAGCAAUAAGACUGUUCUCUCAGAAACAAUGAGAAUAACUGCUCUACAUCUUACAAACCAG
RNAcentral lists this long non-coding RNA (269 nucleotides) under Homo sapiens (human). Its description in RNAcentral is "HSALNT0367081". Lineage: Eukaryota; Metazoa; Chordata; Mammalia; Primates; Hominidae. The record is from RNAcentral.